GGCUCCGUGGCUUAAUGGUUUCGGCUUCUGCCUCACAAGCAGAAGGUUCAGGGAUCAAAUCCCGGUCGGUACCU
This is a non-coding RNA of Culex pipiens (northern house mosquito), 74 nucleotides long. The record is from Rfam. Lineage: Eukaryota; Metazoa; Arthropoda; Insecta; Diptera; Culicidae.